Lolium perenne is the source of this 347-nucleotide long non-coding RNA. RefSeq lists it as uncharacterized. The record is from RefSeq and is a predicted model, not a curated record. Lineage: Eukaryota; Viridiplantae; Streptophyta; Magnoliopsida; Poales; Poaceae.
GUUAACUCUGCUCCACAUUGACAUCGCUACUAAUUUCUGUUACCCUUGACCCGUGACAUUGAUGUCCUGAAUUUUCAACAGACCUAUGUGAUCUUUCCAGGUGAUAAUGUUGAUUGCUACAGAAGUUCAAGCAGCGCAUCUUGCCGUGGUGUCAAGACAGCUAGUCAUGGGAGUUCAGAACAUAUUCUGUGGUGAUUCUCGGGUUGCUGACACAUGGGUUGAAGAUCUUCAGCACAUCCGAUUGUGUAAUUCUAUUGUAAUUUAUUAUUUCACCACUGUUGUUUUCCUGCUCCUUAUUCCUGGACUUCUUUUUUUGGAAAGGCUAUACACAUCAAUCUAUUCUUGGA